AACACAUGCAAGUCAAGGGGCCAGCAAUGGCACCGGCGGACGGGUGAGUAACGCGUACACAACGUACCUUUAACUGGGGGAUAGCAUCUGGAAACGGGUGGUAAUACCGCAUGUGGUUGCGGGGAGGCAUCUCCUUGUAACUAAAACUUUGGUGGUUAGAGAUCGGUGUGCGUCUGAUUAGCUAGUUGGUAGGGUAGAGGCCUACCAAGGCGACGAUCAGUAGGGGGCGUGAGAGCGUGAACCCCCACACGGGUACUGAGACACGGACCCGACUCCUACGGGAGGCAGCAGUAAGGAAUAUUGGUCAAUGGAGGGAACUCUGAACCAGCCAUGCCGCGUGAAGGAAGAAGGCGCUACGCGUUGUAAACUUCUUUCGGGUGGGACGAAAAUAAUCCAUUUAUGGAUAGCUGACGGUACCAUCAGAAUAAGCACCGGCUAACUCCGUGCCAGCAGCCGCGGUAAUACGGAGGGUGCGAGCGUUAUCCGGAAUCACUGGGUUUAAAGGGUGCGUAGGUGGCUUAAUAAGUCAGCUGUGAAAUGUCUGGGCUUAACCGAGGCAUUGCGGUUGAUACUGUUAGGCUUGAAUCAAGUUGAGGUGGCUAGAAUGUGACAUGUAGCGGUGAAAUGCAUAGAUAUGUCAUAGAAUACCAAUUGCGAAGGCAGGUUGCUAGACUU
This 675-nucleotide ribosomal RNA is filed under the name uncultured bacterium BA7. RNAcentral's name for it is "bacterial SSU rRNA". It matches the Rfam family "Bacterial small subunit ribosomal RNA", at positions 50 to 736 of the family's 1533-position model. Lineage: Bacteria; Pseudomonadati; Bacteroidota. The record is from RNAcentral.